This 341-nucleotide long non-coding RNA is filed under the name Carica papaya (papaya). Its description in RNAcentral is "long non-coding RNA (CPAP_LNC014298)". Lineage: Eukaryota; Viridiplantae; Streptophyta; Magnoliopsida; Brassicales; Caricaceae. The record is from RNAcentral.
UGACUUGAGUUCGGGGAUGACAAGGAGCACCGUGAUUCAUCUGAGCUAAAGAUGGAAUUAAAGAAUUGGUAAUCUCAAUCCACAUAAUCAUGGGUCCUCGGUAUCUUAGAAAAUGCAUGUGCAAGCUACAUUGCAAGGCUACCUUUAUUAAUCUUGAUAGACUUAUAAAGCAUGCACUACUUCAUCAAUGAAGUAUUGGUCACGAAGUUAGCUCUAGUCAUGGAACCCCAAGAUGCUUCAUAUCACGGUGGCUAAUUGGCAUGUUCAAAGCCUCAGUAUAUGCAAGAAUGUUUACGUGACACUGAACGCAAUUCCUUGUUCUUGUAUUUAAUAUAUUACCC